CUGAACAUCCUCCUCCAGGGAUGUUCCAUUUGAUGGCCAUAGUAACACCUAAUUCACAGACUUGUUAAAGCUAGAGAAAUGACACAUGCCGAGUGUCCAGGCUCGAACCUGGCAUAAUUAGAGGCAGCUGAUUGUACCACCAGGCAGGAGUUUUAAAAGCUUCUCUUACCCUUGGUGCCGUACUCACUCACAGAGGGUCCUUGCCUCUUCUUUCCAAGCUUCCUCCCUUUAGUGCAAGAGAUGGGAGCACAUUCAGAUGCACCCUUAGACUGGAGAAACAUGGGAUUCACCAAAGUUUCUUUCUGCUGAAGUACAGUAAAUUAGCCAGCCCCUUGCUAGUAACAGUUCUGCCAAUUUCAGGGCUUUGGUGCCCUAAUUUAAUCCUUUAUCACAUAGCACAAACUCACAAGACUCAAAUCCAGUUGAAGUCAUCGUUAAACUGUUUGGUGAAACUCAAAAUUACCAGCGCACUUAACUGCAUUUUCUGAAAAGCCAACACACAAGGUUUCAGUUUUGCUGGUGUUGAUGGCAGCUGCUAACAUUUGAUUUUAUUCAUGUGGGAAACGAGACAUACCAAAAUCACACAUACAUGAGACACUAAGAUCUCUCCUGGAGAGCAGGAGGCUGAACCAAGUCCAGAAAGAAAGCCACACGUGGCCGUCCAUUGCUCGGCCCUCAGGUGCCCAUGUGUCCCCAUGUCGGGGAGUGGAGGCUCGGGGUCUCCUGGGCAGAGCUCACCUCCUGAAAAGUCCCAGCACUAAAAGCAAGACGGGAACACAGCCGUUGGAGCAAAAGCUACACCCAUCUGACGACACUCCACCCAACACCAACUGGUUUUAGGUUUGACUUUUCUUUUUCUCUAGCCUUUGCUGCCUUGAAUGUGUUUGUCAUUUACAAUAUGCUUUAGGGCACUAGAAGAUGAAAUUUUUGUUUUCAUUUUCUUUGCUUGUAAUAAAAUACUCUCUUUUGAGAAGUAUUUAAUCAGAUAAUGAAUUCAGCGAGGAUGGGCCCACUUUGCAGUGCAGACUCUGUGGGUUCCCUUGCCUCGAGGUUGAAGGAGCCAGAUAGAAUCCUCAUGUCUUUCCGGGCAAACACAUUAAUAAACAGCAAUGCCCAGAAUUGGACCUGGA
Orcinus orca (killer whale) is the source of this 1130-nucleotide long non-coding RNA. RefSeq lists it as uncharacterized. Lineage: Eukaryota; Metazoa; Chordata; Mammalia; Artiodactyla; Delphinidae. The transcript has 2 exons. The record is from RefSeq and is a predicted model, not a curated record.